Molecule: ribosomal RNA, 253 nt
Filed under: uncultured bacterium
Lineage: Bacteria
Description: partial 16S ribosomal RNA
Rfam family: Bacterial small subunit ribosomal RNA
Source: RNAcentral
UACGAAGGGGGCUAGCGUUGCUCGGAAUUACUGGGCGUAAAGCGCACGUAGGCGGCUUCUUAAGUCGGUGGUGAAAUCCUGGAGCUCAACUCCAGAACUGCCUUCGAUACUGGGAAGCUCGAGUCCGGGAGAGGUGAGUGGAACUGCGAGUGUAGAGGUGAAAUACGUAGAUAUUCGCAAGAACACCAGUGGCGAAGGCGGCUCACUGGCCCGGUACUGACGCUGAGGUGCGAAAGCGUGGGGAGCAAACAGG